AACUCCAUAGCUCAGUGGUUAGAGCACUGGUCUUGUAAACCGGAGGUCGCGAGUUCGAUCCUCGCUGGGGCCU
RNAcentral lists this transfer RNA (73 nucleotides) under Chelonia mydas (Green sea turtle). It matches the Rfam family "tRNA". From Rfam's summary of the family: Transfer RNA (tRNA) molecules are approximately 80 nucleotides in length. Their secondary structure includes four short double-helical elements and three loops (D, anti-codon, and T loops). The record is from Rfam by way of RNAcentral. Lineage: Eukaryota; Metazoa; Chordata; Testudines; Cheloniidae.